Molecule: ribosomal RNA, 323 nt
Filed under: uncultured bacterium
Lineage: Bacteria
Description: bacterial SSU rRNA
Rfam family: Bacterial small subunit ribosomal RNA
Source: RNAcentral
UCGUGUCGUGAGAUGUUGGGUUAAGUCCCGCAACGAGCGCAACCCUUGAACUGUGUUACCAGCACGUGAAGGUGGGGACUCACAGUUGACUGCCGGCGUAAGUCGGAGGAAGGCGGGGAUGACGUCAAAUCAUCAUGCCCUUUAUGUCCUGGGCUACACACGUGCUACAAUGGGCGGUACAACGGGAAGCGAGACCGCGAGGUGGAGCAAACCCCUGAAAGCCGUUCGUAGUUCGGAUUGCAGGCUGCAACUCGCCUGCAUGAAGCCGGAAUUGCUAGUAAUCGCGGAUCAGCAUGCCGCGGUGAAUCCGUUCCCGGGCCUUG